Molecule: long non-coding RNA, 575 nt
Filed under: Androctonus crassicauda
Lineage: Eukaryota; Metazoa; Arthropoda; Arachnida; Scorpiones; Buthidae
Source: RNAcentral
CAUUUUAAGCAGGAAUAUAAAAAUUUAUUAUUAAUUAAUUCAGCUUUCAAUGCUUAUUUUUUUUUAAUUUAUGUGAUAUUAUAAGCAACAAAACAUUGGUUUUUAUAAGAUUAAUUUGCAUUAUAUUACAGUAAUUGUUAUGAAAUAUAACUUUACUAUUGAGAGUUAAUUAUCAAUUGUGUUAUCAUCAUUAAUUUCAGUUCAUUCAUUGAUACCCUGCUUUUAUCAAGGAAAUGUUAUCACAAAAGAAUAAGUUGAUCUAGAACAGGAGUGUCCAACCUGAAGCCCAUGAGCCGCAUGCAGCCCAGAAUGGCUUUAAAUGCAGCCCAACAAGAAAUUUUAAACUAAUUUAAAUAAAUAAUUUACUAAUGUUUUUAAUACUGAGAGAUAGAGAAAACAUUCUUUAUCUUAGUCAAGCACUUUUGUACCUUACACAAUACAUAUUUUUUAAUAUUGUUUUGGGUAUAUUUCAAGUGUCUUUUGCCACAAAGGAAAGGAGAGAAUACUUGGCUCAUCAGUUCAUUUUAUUUACAUUUUCAAUAAUAGAAAGUGCAAUCUUGAAUUUAACCUAUGGA